RNA transcript from Mangifera indica (mango), 2911 nucleotides. It is a transcript of the gene named fluoride export protein 1-like, with no coding region annotated. The record is from RefSeq and is a predicted model, not a curated record. The transcript is spliced from 9 exons. Lineage: Eukaryota; Viridiplantae; Streptophyta; Magnoliopsida; Sapindales; Anacardiaceae.
GACUUAUCCGCCUUCAUUUCUAUCUUGCAUAUCUCAUUCAAAUGCAAGUUUUUAAACUGAUGCAAUCGCCUUUGCCUGAAAAUCAUAAGACUGCCCUCCCAUUUCUGUUCAAUCUUUUUAUUUACUCAUCGAAGGAGAGAAGUUUAAAUCUGAGCCAUAUAUCAAAUUCCCCCUGUCUAGUUUUACGUUUUUGGGCGAGUAAUCCGCACUCAGCAGUCAGCCCGUAUCCAAUCCGUCGGUUCGCCAAGUCUUAAGUCAACGUUGAACCAUAUAAAGCAGUUGGGCCGUGAGCCCGAAACGGCAUAGGCAUGAUUCACUCAGUACUCCUCCCGCCUCGCCGUGAUUUCCAGUGAAAGCGGAAACAGAACAAAACGAAUCUUUUUGAUCAUGAUUAGGCAUCGAGAGGCUGAGACAGAUUAACUGUUGCUUUUCUUUUCAGAUCCAUCGUCAGCUGGAAAAGAAACAUUUCUCACAGGAACCCACCGCGGUUGAAAUUCGAGAGUCAAAAACGGCAUUCGUCAUGCUUGUCUUCACUCCACCUCACACCAUCACGCGCUUUAUAUCCGCUCCGUAGAAAUAAAAUAAUCAAAUUCGUCUCUCUCUAAAACCCGAAGGCCGUUAAAUUCAAGAAGUCGGAGGGCGGAGGCCUACUCUGGCCUUUCCUCAGAUCCACAUUACAAUUUACAUGCACUGCUCAUCGCCUUUUCAAAGCUUAGUGUCUCUUGCUGACGGAAUCAUUUUUGUUUAUCUUUUCAAUACGCUCGGCAUUUGACCGAGGAGAAAUUUUCAUAAGAUUUCUUCGGCGAAUCGAACUUAAGAUAAGUUUACGGGACAAUCCUGUGACUUUGGUGAAAGAUCAUGGAUCACAGGACUGCUGAUGCUGAAUUUAGGCGAAGUGGAUCAUUUGAUAAAGCAAGCAGUGCAAGUUCUUCACUGAGAAGGGGUUCCUUAAGUUUGUCUGGUACUUUGCGAUCUCGUCGAGAUAAUGACAUUGAAAGUGAGACUGUUUCAGAGGCAGGUGAUAUUGGGGAUCGUGUGCUUCACAGUGACAGGAUCAGUGACAAUGGUAGCCUGCAGUUCUCUAUUGAUCAUGCAUUAGAAAAUGGAGAGAUUAUGUCCAUUCCAGAGAAUGAUCUAUUCCAAUCUUUGGGGUUUGGGCCUCGUCAUCCCACUGCCCACAAUACAGUCUCUAUGGUGUCACCUUUACCAAUCAUAUCUCCUUCCACCAAGCCAUUAGUUUGCUCUGAGGAUCAAAAACAAGAGAAGGAGAAAGUGUUACCAUUGUCAUUGGAGUAUAUAUCAUGUCUUCUCCAUUUGGCUGUUUUUGGGAUUCUUGGGACAUUAACAAGGUAUUUGCUGCAAGAACUUUUUGGCCCCAGUAUUGCUCGCGUGACAAGUGAAGGGAGCAUUCUAUACCUCGACCUUCCUUCCAACAUGGUCGGUUCUUUCUUGAUGGGUUGGUGGGGUGUUGUUUUCAAAGAAGACAUAUCCAAAAUGUCUGAAUAUUUAGCCAUCGGUUUGACAACUGGCUACUUGGGGAGCCUUACAACUUUCAGUGGUUGGAAUCAGAAAAUGCUUGAUCUCAGCGUCAAUGGCCAGUGGGUGUUUGCUUUUCUCGGCUUUUUCCUUGGGUUGUUUCUUGCAGCCUACUCCAUAAUUUUUGGGAUUGAGACAGCCAAAGGUUUCAGGUGGCUUUUGAAAAGAUUUUCCUCAAGUUCAAACAAAGAAAUUUGCAACUUCAGCAGCAAAUGGAGGGUGGACAGCUUAAAGUGUCAUUUGGCAGCAAUGGUAAUGUUGAUACUGUUGCUUGGAGUUUUCUGGAGUGUGAGUGGAGUGCUAACAAAGAAGGAUUUUGAUACUGGUAGCAGUGAGGCUCAAUUGUGGUUGGGUUGCAUUGUUUCUCCUCUAGGUGUCUGGGUCAGGUGGUUCCUAGCCCGACUUAAUGGACGUGGGCUAGGAAGGGCUGGAUAUCUGAAAUGGGUUCCAUUUGGUACUCUGAUUGCCAAUAUUUCUGCAGCUUGUAUCAUGGCAGCCCUUGCUACUGUGAAGGCAGCGGAGGACAAUAGCACCAGCAAUACAGUUGCAGGUGGCAUACAAUUUGGAUUUUUGGGUUGUUUGAGUACAGUUUCUACUUUUAUUGCCGAAUUCAAUGCUAUGAGGGAGAGCACGCAACCUUGGAGAGCAUAUGCAUAUGCCCUUGCCACAAUAAUAAUCUCAUUUGCCUUGGGGAUUCUCCUAUACUGUGUACCUGUGUGGACAAGGAAUUACGAAUGACGUGUUGUUUCCUACUUUUGAAUGGCUUGGAAUUUACUUACCGAUAGAGCUAUAUGAACCAUAAGUACAUGUACGAGAAUAAAAUAACAUUUAAUUACAUGUAAACAGGAGAAAUGUGUUCCACAACACAACAUAUAUUUCAGCCACUCAUAUUGUAGGAAAUAUUCAGUGAGAUAAGGCUUGUUAAAUCUGAUGAGGGCCGCGACUGCUGGUAAGUGACUUGUUGAGGAAUCUUGUUAAGUUUACAAGGAAAAAAUGGUUUGUAUUAAUGUGUGACAAGUGAAAGCUCUCCAUCGUAUUACUUUUACAGAGGAGUGGUGGAGAAGGUACCCGCGAUUUAAAAAAAAUUAAUUAAUUUUUUUUUCACAGUUUUCACCUUUUUAAGUUUAGGGUUUGCUUAAUCCGCCUUUCUCAGUUAUCUCUUUAUUAUCUUUUCCCCUCUCCUUUCUUUUAACGAUUUGCUUCUUCUACCACAAUCACCUUCUCCACCACUCCUCUCUGCUCGCCAACUCCUCUCUCUCCCUUACGCAGACCAUCAAAGGCUUCCACCACUUCACCAUCGAGGGGUACUCUUGGGAAUGGUGGAAUAUCCAUGUACAAUUCUUAUUGACAAUGAUUUUCAAAGUUGCUACCAGAA